Molecule: ribosomal RNA, 301 nt
Filed under: uncultured bacterium
Lineage: Bacteria
Description: partial 16S ribosomal RNA
Rfam family: Bacterial small subunit ribosomal RNA
Source: RNAcentral
CAGUCGCCGCGGUAAUACGAAGGGGGCUAGCGUUGCUCGGAAUUACUGGGCGUAAAGGGAGCGUAGGCGGAUCGUUAAGUUGGGGGUGAAAGCCCGGGGCUCAACCUCGGAAUUGCCUUCAAUACUGGCGAUCUUGAGUAUGGAAGAGGUAUGUGGAACUCCGAGUGUAGAGGUGAAAUUCGUAGAUAUUCGGAAGAACAUCAGUGGCGAAGGCGACAUACUGGUCCAUUACUGACGCUGAGGCUCGAAAGCGUGGGGAGCAAACAGGAUUAGAGACCCCAGUAGUCCCUGUCUCUUAUAC